GGUGGUGUGGUCUAGUGGUAUGACGUUUCGUUGUGGCCUGGUAACCAAGACCCGAUAUCCGAAAUAGCCAGGGUUCGAUUCCCUGCACCGCCA
This is a non-coding RNA of Lophiotrema nucula, 93 nucleotides long. The record is from the annotation of a GenBank genome assembly. Lineage: Eukaryota; Fungi; Ascomycota; Dothideomycetes; Pleosporales; Lophiotremataceae.